This 515-nucleotide ribosomal RNA is filed under the name uncultured bacterium. Its description in RNAcentral is "partial 16S ribosomal RNA". It matches the Rfam family "Bacterial small subunit ribosomal RNA", at positions 28 to 523 of the family's 1533-position model. The record is from RNAcentral.
GAUGAACGCUGGCAGCGUGCCUAAUACAUGCAAGUCGAGCGAAUGGAUUAAGAGCUUGCUCUUAUGAAGUUAGCGGCGGACGGGUGAGUAACACGUGGGUAACCUGCCCAUAAGACUGGGAUAACUCCGGGAAACCGGGGCUAAUACCGGAUAACAUUUUGAACCGCAUGGUUCGAAAUUGAAAGGCGGCUUCGGCUGUCACUUAUGGAUGGACCCGCGUCGCAUUAGCUAUUUGGUGAGGUAACGGCUCACCAAGGCAACGAUGCGUAGCCGACCUGAGAGGGUGAUCGGCCACACUGGGACUGAGACACGGCCCAGACUCCUACGGGAGGCAGCAGUAGGGAAUCUUCCGCAAUGGACGAAAGUCUGACGGAGCAACGCCGCGUGAGUGAUGAAGGCUUUCGGGUCGUAAAACUCUGUUGUUAGGGAAGAACAAGUGCUAGUUGAAUAAGCUGGCACCUUGACGGUACCUAACCAGAAAGCCACGGCUAACUACGCGCCAGCCGCCGCAGUAA